Molecule: transfer RNA, 62 nt
Filed under: Dipodomys ordii (Ord's kangaroo rat)
Lineage: Eukaryota; Metazoa; Chordata; Mammalia; Rodentia; Heteromyidae
Rfam family: tRNA
About the family: Transfer RNA (tRNA) molecules are approximately 80 nucleotides in length. Their secondary structure includes four short double-helical elements and three loops (D, anti-codon, and T loops).
Source: Rfam by way of RNAcentral
GGGAAGAUGGCUCAGUGGUAGAGUGCUUGCCUUGCAUGCAUGAGGUCCUGGGUUUCAUUCCU